This 428-nucleotide ribosomal RNA is filed under the name uncultured prokaryote. Its description in RNAcentral is "bacterial SSU rRNA". It matches the Rfam family "Bacterial small subunit ribosomal RNA", at positions 355 to 774 of the family's 1533-position model. The record is from RNAcentral.
UGGGGAAUUUUGCGCAAUGGGGGAAACCCUGACGCAGCAACGCCGCGUGGGUAAUGAAGGCCUUCGGGUCGUAAAGCCCUGUCGGGAGGGAAGAAAUGAUUGAGAGCUAAUACCUCUUGGUCUUGACGGUACCUCCGAAGGAAGCACCGGCUAACUCCGUGCCAGCAGCCGCGGUAAUACGGAGGGUGCAAGCGUGGUUCGGAAUUAUUGGGCGUAAAGCGCGUGUAGGCGGUCUGUUAAGUCUGAUGUGAAAGCCCCGGGCUCAACCUGGGAAGUGCAUUGGAAACUGGGAGACUUGAGUACGGGAGAGGAGAGUGGAAUUCCUAGUGUAGGGGUGAAAUCCGUAGAUAUUAGGAGGAACACCGGUGGCGAAGGCGGCGCUCUGGACCGAUACUGACGCUGAGACGCGAAAGCGUGGGUAGCAAACA